RNAcentral lists this ribosomal RNA (707 nucleotides) under Wickerhamiella versatilis. Its description in RNAcentral is "LSU rRNA". It matches the Rfam family "Eukaryotic large subunit ribosomal RNA", at positions 1 to 729 of the family's 3401-position model. Lineage: Eukaryota; Fungi; Ascomycota; Dipodascomycetes; Dipodascales; Trichomonascaceae. The record is from RNAcentral.
AGAUGUACACGUUAGUGAAACUUGUACACCAAGCUUUCUUUAAAAGACCUCGUAUCAGGCAAGACUACCCGCUGAACUUAAGCAUAUCAAUAAGCGGAGGAAAAGAAACCAACAGGGAUUGCCCUAGUAACGGCGAGUGAAGCGGCAAAAGCCCAAAUUUGAAAUCCUCUUUUGAGGAGUUGUAAUUUGGAGAUGGAGUGCUGGACUCAGCUCUGUGGAAGUUGGCUGGAAAGCCGCGCCUUGGAGGGUGAUAGCCCCGUGCCACGGAGGUCCUGUGUCUGUGUAGUACUCUUUCUACGAGUCGCGUUGUUUGGGAAUGCAGCGCUAAGUGGGUGGUAAAUUCCAUCUAAGGCUAAAUAUUGGCGAGAGACCGAUAGCGAACAAGUACUGUAAAGGAAAGAUGAAAAGCACUUUGAAAAGAGAGUGAAAUAGCACGUGAAAUCGUUGAAGUGGAAGGGCUUAAAGCUACACACCUUCUUCGGAAGGGGCUAACAUCAGUUUUGCCGGAUGGAUAAAUGGUAAAGAAAGUGGCAUUUUCGGAUGUGUUAUAGCUUUAUCAAAUACAUCCCGGCGGGAUUGAGGACCGCGCUUUAUGCAAGGAUGUUGGCGUAAUGGUUUUAAGCCACCCGUCUUGAAACACGGACCAAGGAGUCUAUUGCUCAUGCGAGUGUUUGGGUGUUAAACUCGCAACGCGAAAUGAAAGUGAA